GUGCUGGUUUUGGCAACACAGAUACUAAAACUGGAACGAUACAAAGAUUGGCCUGGCCACUGUGCAAGGAUGACAUACAAACUCAUAAAGCAUUCCAUAUAUUG
This is a small nuclear RNA of Pteropus vampyrus (large flying fox), 104 nucleotides long. The record is from Ensembl. Lineage: Eukaryota; Metazoa; Chordata; Mammalia; Chiroptera; Pteropodidae.